UUUCCGUAGGUGAACCUGCGGAAGGAUCAUUAUCGAAAUACUUAUUUAGCGUUCCGUGCUAUCCCAUUGUUUUAUUUACCCUGUUGCUUCCACUGGAUGAGUUUCCAUACCUUGUGUUUGAGAAACUUUGGCUUGUGUAAGAUUCAUUCACGGCCAGCCAGUGAGAAGACCAUUUACAAAACCCUGUUAAGAACCAAUUGUCUGAAUAUUUUACUCCAAUGAAAUAAAACUCUCAACAACGGAUCUCUAGGCUCUUGCAUCGAUGGAGAACGCAGC
This 276-nucleotide unclassified non-coding RNA is filed under the name plant metagenome. Its description in RNAcentral is "partial contains small subunit ribosomal RNA, internal transcribed spacer 1, and 5.8S ribosomal RNA". The stretch from base 228 to 276 matches the Rfam family "5.8S ribosomal RNA", at positions 1 to 49 of the family's 154-position model. The record is from RNAcentral.